CGGUUGAAAAACAUCCAAAACGAAAAUGGUUUAAGUAUUAUACCAAAUCUUUGUUUAGAUUUUAAUUUUAAUUUGUUCGUUGUUAGACUUCGCGGUAACGAUAUAGUGACUACUGAUAUGAUCGCGUUUUGUUCACUCGAGUUAAUCUAUUUUGUACGUGUUUAUUUUGCUCCGAGUGUUUAAAGUGUAUCUUUCCUCGUCCCUAUAUUCAAAUUGUACUCAUAAAAUACGAGAAAUGUUCGUUUCAACGUUUUUCCACGCGGUGUAUUUAUUUAUAUUUAAUUGUGAAAACCGCGAGUGCAUGGACUUACGCAUACUCUAUUUAUUAUUUAUGAUGAACAAUGGAUAAACUGUGAAUAUCGGUUAGAAAAAUGUUUUUUCAGCCGUAACGGUAACAUUAUUGUCGCGUGUGGCCGAUAAAUAAUCGUUAAAAUGUAUAAACAUUAGCACUGUAAUAUGACAGCAUUUGAUCGAACAGCUCGCGAAAUCAAUGAUUUGUUAACGAAAAUGCAGUUGAUCGUCAAAUCACGGGAUAUUUGAAAUUCAACCGGAUUCGCAACGUUUGAAAACGGCGUGGAAAGUGUUUUUUUGCCACUGGCCCCACACGUAAAGUAACUUUGGACAGUGCAUGAAUUCUUAAUCAAAUCCUAAAACGAUUAUUCGAAAACCUGUAAAUUCUCAUAAACAUAUUGCACGACGUGCCUAUAUCCGGGCCCAUUUAAUAAGCACUUGCCGUUGUUAUGUCGAUUUCAUGCCUCGUGCGCGUCGACGUCUGCUCUUGAUCGGUCGACGACGGGGACCGAUAUUAUCAAGUACGGGUUAUUAUGCAUCUCGUUUUUUACGGCGCAGUUCGGCGCAUAGCGAUCCAACGUGCACAAUACCCGGAGUGUCUCGCGAUCCGGAGACGUCAGUAAGUUUGCUGUUCGCACGGGGAACAGGGUGGAACGCUGCGAAAACAUUAUUUUCGUCUCUUUUUACCGCAACGUUCUAUUCGAUUUUUUUUCUUUCCCUAUAAUUCAAUUCAAAAUGCAUAUCGGUACGCGCCGCGUGCACGCACGAGCUUAUUCGUGUGCGCGUAUUUCGAUUGUUCGACAACGGAUUGGUACGUGAUCCGUGACGACGAGCUACUGGCCUACGGUUCUCCACGUAAUGCCCGGACGGUCGGCCGGAGUUAUAGCCACCCGCGUUUCAGACGAGCGACGCGUGUUAUGCUCUCGGAUCGAAAAACCAGGCCACCGAUCACACCGUGCUACACGCGUUGUGCGCAACAACGUGUACUGUAUACCGGCAGACGGACACGGGAGACGAGAACGAAUAGAUGAUCGACGGUGACAAAGAGGAACGAUGGACAGGAAAACGGUGUCUACGGUUAGGGCAGAUCGUUGGUACAAGCAAUAAGGGCCGAGUAACAACGAAAGCCGUAUCGCUAGCAUAAAGUUUGCAAACAAGUUAGCUAGUCGUUACGGUAAUAUAUGUUUAUGAACCGAACGCGAACCGCGCAAAAAAUACCAUUCCACGAUGAAGUAAACCCGAUGACCACUAAUAAAUAAAGGCGUCACGACGCGUCGUUGCAUUGUAUAAAAACAGAUAGUUAAUUAAUAUAUGUUGUACGUAGCACGUAAGAAGGUGGUUAAAAAACGUAUUUUCAUGUAUUUCGAAGAAUACCGUAAUUUGUAAAUUUAUUAUUUUUUUUUUUUUUUGUCUAGUUAAUUUUUCCGAAUUACAUGCCCUUGUAUAAACACGAUAGGGGCACCUAAUGUAAGGUAGAAGAUAGAUAGUUAGGAGUUGGACAGUGUUAGGCUGGUCAUUUUUCCCUUUUUGUUAAUUAUUGCUCGUCGUGGACAAUGUUACAGCCGUAUCGCCGCGACUACAUAAUUUUUACCCGGACUGAACUGAUCUUUCUUGUCUAGUAUUGAAUUGGUUGAACUGUUUAUUAUUUUUCUUGUGUUGAUUAAUAAAAAGUGUCAAUAAAAGUGUUUAAUUA
Molecule: long non-coding RNA, 1984 nt
Organism: Sipha flava (yellow sugarcane aphid)
Lineage: Eukaryota; Metazoa; Arthropoda; Insecta; Hemiptera; Aphididae
Exons: 3
Source: RefSeq, a predicted model, not a curated record